GACGAACGCUGGCGGCGUGCCUAAUACAUGCAAGUCGAACGAGAGCGACCGGUGCUUGCACUGGUCACUCUAGUGGCGAACGGGUGAGUAACACGUGGGUAACCUGCCCAUCAGAGGGGGAUAACAUCCGGAAACGGAUGCUAAAACCGCAUAGGUCUUCGAGCCGCAUGGCUUGAUGGGGAAAAGAGGCGCAAGCUUCUGCUGAUGGUUGGACCCGCGGUGCAUUAGCUAGUUGGUGAGGUAACGGCUUACCAAGGCCGCGAUGCAUAGCCGACCUGAGAGGGUGAUCGGCCACACUGGGACUGAGACACGGUCCAGACUCCUACGGGAGGCAGCAGUAGGGAAUCUUCCGCAAUGGGCGAAAGCCUGACGGAGCAACGCCGCGUGAGUGAAGAAGGUUUUCGGAUCGUAAAACUCUGUUGUUAGGGAAGAACAAGUGUGAGAGUAACUGUUAGCGCCUUGACGGUACCUAACCAGAAAGCCACGGCUAACUACGUG
RNAcentral lists this ribosomal RNA (498 nucleotides) under uncultured bacterium. RNAcentral's name for it is "partial 16S ribosomal RNA". It matches the Rfam family "Bacterial small subunit ribosomal RNA", at positions 28 to 507 of the family's 1533-position model. The record is from RNAcentral.